Molecule: long non-coding RNA, 3732 nt
Filed under: Theobroma cacao (cacao)
Lineage: Eukaryota; Viridiplantae; Streptophyta; Magnoliopsida; Malvales; Malvaceae
Description: long non-coding RNA (TCAC_LNC002265)
Source: RNAcentral
AUUUCUUCAUUAAUAGCUUAUACAUAUUUAUAUUACAUAGAAACCCACUUAAGUUAAAGUAAAUAGUUAAACUAAAUCUAGUUACAACUUAACUAGCCAUUAUCACUAGAAACCAUGGUGACCAUUAUGAUUUUAUUUACAAAAGGACAAGAAACAACAGACAUAUUUUGACACAUAGCAACUGUGACAACCUAAAGCCUGGUCACGUCUUUCAUACUUAAAAGUCUACUUUCUAUUUGUGUUGUCAAAAAAAUAUCUUCAACCUUGACUGUUAAAGUAUCUUCAAUAUGAUCUCAAUAGUCUAACACACCUCCUUGAGAUCAUUUUUGAAGACUCCCAAUAGUGACCUUAGAGUUUGAAACCUAUUUGUUGGCAGCCCUUUAGUCAUGAUAUCUGCAACUUGAUCUUGAGAGCUGCAAUACUGCACAUCAAUCUCUUUGUUUUUGACAGCAUAACGUAUCAUAUGAAACCUCACCCAAAUGUGUCUUGUUCUUCCAUGUUGCAUCGAGUUUCUGGACAUAACUAUAGCUGAUUGGUUAUCCAUCCAAAGAACAGUAAGAUCAUUUUGAGAAAACCCCAGGUCAAACAAGAUUUUUCUCAACCAAAGGCUGUGAUUGGUUACAGCUGCAGCUGAGAUACACUCAGCUUCUGCCUAUGACUGUGCCACCACCUCCUGCUUCUUGGAGGCCCAUGAGAAAACACCAUUGCCAAAGGAGAAAAUGAAUCCAGUGGUACUCUUAGAGUCAUUGAGACUUCCAACCCAAUCACUAUCCGAGAAUCCUUGAAGAUGCUAGCUUUGUUCUCGACCAAAUCUGAUGCCAAAAUCAAUGCUGCCCUUAAUGUAUCUUAAGUUCCUUUUUGCAGCAGAUAGAUGAGUCAUUGUUGGCUGAUGCAUAAACCUGGAGAGCAAGCUUGUUCUAAACAUGAUGUCAGGUCUUGAAGAGGAUAAAUACAAGAGACUCCCUAUUAAUCUUCUGUAAAUAGUGGCAUCUGCUAACUCUUCAUUAUUGGACAAAGAAAUCUUAACAUUUGCAGCAAUAGGAGUAGGAGUGGCCUUGCAGUUUUGCAUCUUAAAUUUUUUGAGAAGCUCAGCUGCGUACUUUUGUUGAUGCAAUAUUAUAGACUUCUUGGCUUGGACAAAUUCAAGUCCAAGGAUAUAAGUCAUUAAGCCGAGAUCCGUCAUCUCAAAUUCUUCCAUCAUCUCCUUUUUGAACUUCAAUAACAGCUCAGUAUUAAGACUAGUAACAGGAAUAUCAUCAACAUAAAUCGAAACAAUGACUUGUUCACCUGCAGAAGAACAACAGACAUAGAGAGUUAGCUCACUCUCACUCCUAUAAAAUCCUUUAUUGCAGAGAUAGCUAUCAACUCUUGCAUACCAUGUCAUGACCCGGAACUCCCAUCAAGCCCAUGACAACCGCCGCGAUGUCUCGAUAGACAUUCAUUACCCGAAAUGCCUACUGAAACUUCACAAGGCUUUAACAUUAGUUUUUCACUCCCCCUGUGAGUAACAGUUACUAAAUAUCCUGUUUAAAAGUGUAUAAAUUACUUUUAAAUCAAAACAAUCAAAAGGAAAUUUUCUACGACACAGGGGUAUUUUGGUCAUUUUACUUAAAAAUUUCGAAACCUAAUAAAAAUACGAUAUACAAGUAAUAACCAUUCAUUUCAUGUCUAAAAUGAAGUUUAAUGGUCUAAAUCAUAAAUUAAAAAUGAACUUAUAGCCAUUCAAACUAAAUAAAAAUAUUAAAUAAAAUAUUCUAUUUUCUUAUAAAACAAUCUUAUAGAACUACGCGUAAAUAAUUUUUGUAACGUAAAAGCAAAAUCAAUUCAUACAUACAAUGGCAGAGUGAACCAGGUAUACAAAAUAUUCUACAAUGACAUGUGGGCCCCAUAAUAAACCAAUAUGUACAAAAAGGUAGACCUUCGACUUCUGAGUUUGUAAGUCCAAAGGUAUCCCUCGACGAAAUCUACUAUCUACCAACUAUCUUGAGAUUGAAAUGGGUAAAAAAAAGAAAAUGUGAGUUUUUAUAAACUCGGUGAGUAAACAAACAUCAUCUAAAAUAUCUAAAGUCGAGUAAAGGAAGACAACUUAAAAUAGUGCAUCGUACUAGGAUUCAUAACGUUUCAAACUCAUUUCAACUAAAUAAAAUAAUUUCAUUUUACUCAAAUAAUCAACAUGGCUUAUGAAUUUCCUAAAAAUUUGGCUCAUGCCAAAAAGUAGUACUCGAUGAUGCCUUGCGCCGGGGCAUCCAACCGAGUCCGUCAAGGCUGUUAAAGAAAAGUUCAUAUACGCAUAAAAUACAUUUUACGUUUAAAAGCAUAGCCGUUUCUUGGCAUUGGCUGAGUUCACCCUUACAUGGUGGUUUAGCGUGUAGUGAACUCUAAAACUUUACCUUAAGAGAUACCCUCCCCGCCUCUAGUACCAAGGUAAAAUAUAACUGGGUUUACUGUGCCCCUCUCUAAUAGGUUGGUCCACGGAAACCCGCCACUGCCGUGACUAAUCAUUACCCCACCAAAUCAAUAAAAGUUUCGACAGCAUGACAUGGCAAUUAUAUUACUACCCAGCUUGUUAAGGCAAAACAAACAGUUCAUACAAUUUCCACACAAUUUCCAAUUCAGCCAUUCAUGCCAAUAUCACCAUAAGCCAUUCAAUUCAAACCAUAAAUUUACAACACAAACAAACAGUCUCCAAUUACUCAAUUUCUAAAAUCAUCAUUCAAUUUCAAAAUGAUUUAUAAAACUCAUUUCAUUUAAUCACAUUUUACUUAUAAAACAUAAGGAUUUACCAUUUAAACUCAUUUUUCUAUAAAAUCACAAAAACGAAUAAAAACUACUUUAGAUAAUUAAGACGAUAAUAAGGUUACUCACAAUAUCGGGAGUCGAAGUACUCCUAGUCCCGAUCUUCGGGUACAAUCUCCUUACCCUUAUCGGAAGUUUCACCACCUAAACAUAAUGCACAACAAGCAAUUUACUAUAUUUGUACUAAACCGUUAUAAAACUAAUUUAGGCUCUAUAUGAAUGCAUGAAAUGGGAUGCGAAAUGUUCGGAUUAUUAUCUAAAUAUGGUGUUCUACGUAGCUUCAAUUAUGUAUCGAAAUAAAAUGGUAUUGGCCUAAUUCGAUCUAUACACCGGUUAAUUGGCCAAUACAUCCAAUUCAACUCCAAUUAACUUGAUUCCACUUCCAACACUCCAAGUCAUCAAUUACAAGUUAAAUAAUAUGUAAUAUCACAAAAAUCCAUCAUCAAUAUCUUCCUUGUAAAAUUCAGCCAUUGAAGGUUUAGUGUAGAACAUGUAAUUUUCAUGCUUGAUUUUUACACCUUACAUCAUAAAACAACUAAAAACACCUAAAUAGCAUGAAAUUCAUCAAAGUCCAUUAUCCAAUUUCUCUCUUGAAAAUUUCAGCCAAGGAGUGUGGGUGAAGGGCAUGAAAUUUCUUGCUUGUUUUUCAUGCUAAACAUCACCAAACAACUAAAAACACUAAGAUACCUUGAAAUCUAACCAAAUAAAUCAUCAAAUCUUCUCUCCCUAAAUUCGGUCAGACAUGAAUCCUUCAUGAGAUCUUGAAUUUUAACCAUGAUAAUUGAAAAAGAAUGCAUAGGAAAGGUAGAUCACAAGCUAGAAUUAAGAAAUUUUACCUUUGCUUCCUUAAUUCCUUGAAAUCCCAUGAAUUUUCUCUUGAUUUUCUUCUCUAGGGUUUGUUCUAUGCUUUUUCCGUUUUGUUCUUGCCUUGGCCGG